GGAGAGUUUGAUCAUGGCUCAGAACGAACGCUGGCGGCAGGCUUAACACAUGCAAGUCGAACGCCCUCUUCGGAGGGAGUGGCAGACGGGUGAGUAACGCGUGGGAACCUACCCAAUAGUACGGAAUAACUCAGAGAAAUUUGUGCUAAUACCGUAUACGCCCUUCGGGGGAAAGAUUUAUCGCUAUUGGAUGGGCCCGCGUUGGAUUAGGUAGUUGGUGGGGUAAUGGCCUACCAAGCCGACGAUCCAUAGCUGGUCUGAGAGGAUGAUCAGCCACACUGGGACUGAGACACGGCCCAGACUCCUACGGGAGGCAGCAGUGGGGAAUAUUCGGCAAUGGGGGCAACCCUGACCGAGCCAUGCCGCGUGUGUGAUGAAGGCCCUAGGGUUGUAAAGCACUUUCAACGGUGAAGAUAAUGACGGUAACCGUAGAAGAAGCUCCGGCUAACUUCGUGCCAGCAGCCGCGGUAAUACGAAGGGAGCUAGCGUUGUUCGGAAUUACUGGGCGUAAAGCGCGCGUAGGCGGACUGAUCAGUCAGGGGUGAAAUCCCGGGGCUCAACCCCGGAACUGCCUUUGAUACUGUCAGUCUAGAGUCCGGAAGAGGUGAAUGGAACUCCUAGUGUAGAGGUGAAAUUCGUAGAUAUUAGUGAAGMACACCAGUGGCGAAGGAGAUUCACUGGUCCGGHACUGACGCUGAGGUGCGAAAGCGUGGGGCGCAAACAGGAUUAGAUACCCUGG
RNAcentral lists this ribosomal RNA (739 nucleotides) under Rhizobium sp. PRLISY04. Its description in RNAcentral is "bacterial SSU rRNA". It matches the Rfam family "Bacterial small subunit ribosomal RNA", at positions 8 to 790 of the family's 1533-position model. The record is from RNAcentral. Lineage: Bacteria; Pseudomonadati; Pseudomonadota; Alphaproteobacteria; Hyphomicrobiales; Rhizobiaceae.